CCACGAAAGCCAAAACCAGUCAGAGACUGACCUGCGGUUUUAUACCGCUUCUGGUAGUCAACUGGGGUUUUUUUUUUCACUGUAGACAUGACAAAACUGACCAACCGUGAUCGACAUACGCCACCUACGUGGAAAUCCACGAUCUCUGAUGAAAUU
This 156-nucleotide small RNA is filed under the name Paramormyrops kingsleyae. RNAcentral's name for it is "HOXA11 antisense RNA 1 conserved region 5 (ENSPKIG00000000196.1)". The record is from RNAcentral. Lineage: Eukaryota; Metazoa; Chordata; Actinopteri; Osteoglossiformes; Mormyridae.